UACGUAGGGGGCAAGCGUUGUCCGGAUUUAUUGGGCGUAAAGAGCGUGUAGGCGGUCAGGUAGGUCCGUUGUGAAAACUCGAGGCUCAACCUCGAGACGCCGAUGGAAACCAUCUGACUAGAGUCCGGAAGAGGAGAGUGGAAUUCCUGGUGGUAGCGGUGAAAUGCGCAGAUAUCAGGAAGAACACCCGUGGCUAAGGCGGCUCUCUAGUACGGUACUGACGCUGAGACGCGAAAGCGUGGGAGCGAACAGG
Molecule: ribosomal RNA, 253 nt
Filed under: uncultured bacterium
Lineage: Bacteria
Description: partial 16S ribosomal RNA
Rfam family: Bacterial small subunit ribosomal RNA
Source: RNAcentral